AUGAGAGGUUUAGGUUCAUGUCCCACCCUCCGCGGGCUCUACGUGUCCCAAACCUCCCUGGACUCUACCAUGUCCCACCCUCCGCGGGCUCUACAAUGUCCCACCCUCCGUGGGCUCUACAAUGUCCCACCCUCCGCGGGCUCUACGUGUCCCACCCUCCGCGGGCUCUACAAUGUCCCACCCUCCGUGGGCUCUACAAUGUCCCACCCUCCGCGGGCUCUACGUGUCCCACCCUCCGCGGGCUCUACCAUGUCCCACCUUCCGCGGGCUCUACGUGUCCCACCCUCCGCGGGCUCUACGUGUCCCACCCUCCGCGGGCUCUACCAUGUCCCACCUUCCGCGGGCUCUACAAUGUCCCACCCUCCGCGGGCUCUACGUGUCCCACCCUCCGCGGGCUCUACCAUGUCCCACCUUCCGCGGGCUCUACAAUGUCCCACCCUCCGCGGGCUCUACGUGUCCCACCCUCCGCGGGCUCUACCAUGUCCCACCUUCCGCGGGCUCUACAAUGUCCCACCCUCCGCGGGCUCUACAAUGUCCCACCUUCCGCGGGCUCUACAAUGUCCCACCCUCCGCGGGCUCUACAAUGUCCCACCUUCCGCGGGCUCUACGUGUCCCACCCUCCGCGGGCUCUACAAUGUCCCACCCUCCGCGGGCUCUACCAUGUCCCACCCUCCGCGGGCUCUACAAUGUCCCACCCUCCGCGGGCUCUACCAUGUCCCACAAUCCGCGGGCUCUACCAUGUCCCACCCUCCGCGGGCUCUACAAUGUCCCACCCUCCGCGGGCUCUACAAUGUCCCACAAUCCGCGGGCUCUACCAUGUCCCACCCUCCGCGGGCUCUACCAUGUCCCACCCGCCGCGGGCUCUACCAUGUCCCACCCUCCGCGGGCUCUACAAUGUCCCACCCUCCGCGGGCUCUACCAUGUCCCACCCUCCGCGGGCUCUACCAUGUCCCACCCUCCGCGGUCUCUACCAUGUCCCACCCUCCGCGGGCUCUACAAUGUCCCACCCUCCGCGGGCUCUACCAUGUCCCACAAUCCGCGGGCUCUACCAUGUCCCACCCUCCGCGGGCUCUACAAUGUCCCACCCUCCGCGGGCUCUACAAUGUCCCACAAUCCGCGGGCUCUACCAUGUCCCACCCUCCGCGGGCUCUACAAUGUCCCACCCUCCGCGGGCUCUACAAUGUCCCACAAUCCGCGGGCUCUACCAUGUCCCACCCUCCGCGGGCUCUACAAUGUCCCACCCUCCGCGGGCUCUACAAUGUCCCACCCUCCGCGGGCUCUACAAUGUCCCACCCUCCGCGGGCUCUACCAUGUCCCACCCUCCGCGGGCUCUACCAUGUCCCACCCUCCGCGGGCUCUACCAUGUCCCACCCUCCGCGGGCUCUACCAUGUCCCACCCUCCGCGGGCUCUACAAUGUCCCACCCUCCGCGGGCUCUACCAUGUUCCACCCUCCGCGGGCUCUACCAUGUCCCACCCUCCGCGGUCUCUACCAUGUCCCACCCUCCGCGGACUCUACAAUGUCCCACAAUCUGCGGGCUCUACCAUGUCCCACCUUCCGCGGGCUCUACCAUGUCCCACCCUCCGCGGGCUCUACCAUGUCCCACCCUCCGCGGGCUCUACCAUGUCCCACCCUCUGUGGGCCCUGCUUGUCAAGCAGAAGGACGCAUAAUGAUUACUUUGCCAGCUACCGGUAG
Molecule: long non-coding RNA, 1695 nt
Filed under: Oncorhynchus mykiss (rainbow trout)
Lineage: Eukaryota; Metazoa; Chordata; Actinopteri; Salmoniformes; Salmonidae
Description: lncRNA (ENSOMYG00000076509.1)
Source: RNAcentral